AGGCUCCUGGCUCCUCUGCCAGGCAGUUCUGAAAUGCUUUCCUUUGAAGCAGGGAGUUUAUUUCGGGCCCACCGCAUGACCCGCGAUGGCAAGCCAAACUAUAAGAUGUUGUGCAUCUCGAAUGUCCUGUUUGGAGAUCGCCCGGGGGAGGCCGCCCGCCGCCCGCAGCCCCUCCACGGUGCGUCAAUUAGGGACCUCGCGGCAGAGAGCAUCUCGGAGCACGGCCCUCACGUGACGUCCUCAUCCGUGAUCCUUGACACGGAGGCCAUAUAUGGGUGCUGUCAUCACCCCCAUUUCACAGAUGCGGAGACUGAGGCUCAGGGGGUUGGGGAACUUGUCCGUAAUCUCAUGAUGUAUAAGAGACGGUUUAGGUCUGAACCGCAACUGCCUAAUACAGAAAGCGGUGCCUUUAGCCACAGCCACCCACCGCCCCCGGCCACCCUGCCCCGUGUAACGGGGAAUCCGCAUGUUGGAGCAGAACAAGGAACUAACUCCACAACGUUACGGAGUGGGCACCGUGUCCUCUGAUGUGUGGCAGGUUGUACUUUCCUCUGGACCAAUCCGGAUCCCCUCACCCUCCCAGGCCUGGGACACGGUGCUCCUGAAGCCGGCUGGGGCCUACCUGAGUCACAACUGAUCCUUCACACGAGAGUGGUCAGGACAGAAAGAAACGGCAGGACCAUGGGCUCAGCCAGCCUCACCGCUCCCUGCUCUAAACCCCUCGUGCAAACCAGCGACCAUCCCCAGCUGGCGGCGCUGAGCUACUCCUGCUCCGAAGUGCAGAGUAAGGGGAUCCCUGGGUGGCUCAGUGGUUUACCACUGCCUUCGGCCCAGGGCGUGAUCCUGGAGUCCCGGGAUCGAGUCCCAUAUCAGGCUCCCUGCAUGGAGCCUGCUUCUCCUUCUGCCUGUG
This is a long non-coding RNA of Canis lupus familiaris (dog), 910 nucleotides long. RefSeq lists it as uncharacterized. NCBI's taxonomy places the organism in Eukaryota, Metazoa, Chordata, Mammalia, Carnivora, Canidae. The transcript has 4 exons. The record is from RefSeq and is a predicted model, not a curated record.